RNAcentral lists this long non-coding RNA (208 nucleotides) under Setaria italica (foxtail millet). RNAcentral's name for it is "long non-coding RNA (SITA_LNC006937)". The record is from RNAcentral. Lineage: Eukaryota; Viridiplantae; Streptophyta; Magnoliopsida; Poales; Poaceae.
UAAGGGGUAGGUAGCAGGUGGGGACAACCCUGUCCAUCCUUUUGUAUUCCUCCACAUUCGGGUUCAACUAGAGCUAAUAGCCGGAGCCGCCUGGCAGACUAGGUGUUGACCAGUGCCCAAAGUAGAUGCUUAGUAACAAAGUUUAUCCUUGCAAGAAUCUUUAUCCUAACACAACCACUCUACCCAGACCAUUCUAUCUCUUUUUCUU